UAUGUUGUUUUAGGAAAGGUUUAGGUUACUCUGGUUGGUGUAGGUGGUGAGGUAAGUUCAUUAGAGGCUCAUUAGUGAAGUUCAAAGGGUUAAUUAGGCCUUAAUUGCCUCUAAUUAAUGUCUGAGGUUUAGUUCAGGUUUUUGUUGUUUUAGGAAAGGUUUAGGUUACUUUGGUUGGUGUAGGUGGUGAGGUAAGUUCAUUAGAGGCUCAUUAGUGAAGUUCAAAGGGUUAAUUAGGUCUUAAUUGCCUCUAAUUAAUGUCUGAGAAGGUUUAGUUCAGGCUUAUGUUGUUUUAGGAAAGGUUUAGGUUACUCUGGUUGGUGUAGGUGGUGAGGUAAGUUCAUUAGAGGCUCAUUAGUGAAGUUCAAAGGGUUAAUUAGGUCUUAAUCGCCUCUAAUUAGUGUUGAAAAGGUUUAGUUCAGGUUUAUGUUGUUUUAGGAAAGGUUUAGGUUACUUUGGUUGGUGUAGGUGGUGAGGUAAGUUCAUUAGAGGCUCAUUAGUGAAGUGCAAAUGGUUAAUUAGGUCUUAAUUGCCUCUAAUUAAUGUCUGAGAAGGUUUAGUUCAGGUUUUUGUUGUUUUAGGAAAGGUUUAGGUUACUUUGGUUGGUGUAGGUGGUGAGGUUAGGUUCAUUAGAGGCUGAAUUUGAGGUGGAACGAUGUGAGUCGGCGUGGUUCAGUGUGGCUUCGAGUAAAUGUUUCGAAGUAGUUUCCAAAGGGAUUCGGUACCAAGCGGCUGACGUACUUAAGUGAACUAACUUUACUUAACUUCACUUGACAAAGCUUCACAUAACUUCACUUAACUUCACAUUUAACACAGAACUUCACAAAACUUUACAUAACUUCACUGUCAAAACUUCAGAUAACUUGACAUAACUUCACAAAACUUCACAGAACUUCACUUGACAUAAAUUGACUUAGCAAAUUAAGAGUUUGGCAGGCUGGGCGGGUUAUUCUAUGAUGUUUUAGUAGGCUAGAAUUGUUUUACGGAAGAAGGUAGAAUAAGGGAGGGGUGGUGAGGGGCAGGGAAGUCUUCGAUGUGCUUCAAGUGCUUUGAAUCAAUGUCUCGGAGGUUUUGGUAAAGAUUCACUGAGUGUAGAGAUGAGCUUACGGUACUUGUUAUCAGGUAGCCUACUUAACAUCAUCCUUUGGGAGUAACACAUGCUUGGGGUGUUUACAGUAAAUUAGGGUAAAUGUAUAGUUUAGCUCCACCUCUUCAAAAUCUCAUAUACGUGUUGAUAUUAGGGUAAAAUACACUCUCUCUCUCUCUCUCUCUCUCUCUCUCUCUCUCUCUCUCUCUCUCUCUCACACACACACCUGGUCUUAGGACAUUAAUAGGCUAUCCAACACUUCAUAUCUAUUUUCUUAACAGUAUAACGUAUAACAGUAUAGCGUCACAGCCACGUCCAAGGCACAUACGAUAGUUGAUAUAACGAACUCUGUAGAAAACGGGAUUAACAUGUCUAAUAAAUAAUAGUUACGCUGUAUUUGAGUAAAGGAGAUGAACUUUCAAGAUAAGUCAAUGAAUAAAAAUAGAUGGAUAGUUAAAGAAGAAUGAGUUACACAGUGUUAGAAAAUAGCAAAGUAAAUGUCAACGAAAA
Long non-coding RNA from Eriocheir sinensis (Chinese mitten crab), 1597 nucleotides. RefSeq lists it as uncharacterized. Lineage: Eukaryota; Metazoa; Arthropoda; Malacostraca; Decapoda; Varunidae. The transcript has 2 exons. The record is from RefSeq and is a predicted model, not a curated record.